RNAcentral lists this ribosomal RNA (888 nucleotides) under uncultured bacterium. RNAcentral describes it as "bacterial SSU rRNA". It matches the Rfam family "Bacterial small subunit ribosomal RNA", at positions 8 to 916 of the family's 1533-position model. The record is from RNAcentral.
AGAGUUUGAUCCUGGCUCAGGACGAACGCUGGCGGCGUGCCUAACACAUGCAAGUCGGACGGGCCUGGGUGAAAGCCUGGGUCAGUGGCGGACGGGUGCGUAACACGUAGGUGACCUGCCCUGAAGUGGGGAAUAAUUCCGCGAAAGCGGGACUAAUACCGCAUGAGCUCAGCCAUUCGUUUGGUUGAGCAAAGCCUUUGGGCGCUUGAGGAUGGGCCUGCGGCGGAUUAGCUAGUUGGUGGGGUAACGGCUCACCAAGGCGAUGAUCCGUAGGGGGCGUGAGAGCGUGGCCCCCCACAUUGGCACUGAAACACGGGCCAAACUCCUACGGGAGGCAGCAGUGAGGAAUAUUGCACAAUGGGCGAAAGCCUGAUGCAGCAACGCCGCGUGAGGGACGAAGGCCUUCGGGUCGUAAACCUCUUUUCUGAGAGACGAGACAAGGACGGUAUCUCAGGAAUAAGUCUCGGCUAACUACGUGCCAGCAGCCGCGGUAAAACGUAGGAGGCGAGCGUUAUCCGGAUUUACUGGGCGUAAAGCGCGCGCAGGCGGCUGGGUAAGUUGGCUGUGAAAAGCUCCUGGCUUAACUGGGAGAGGUCGGUCAAGACUGCCUGGCUUGAGGUAGGGAGAGGGGUGUGGAAUUCCCGGUGUAGUGGUGGAAUGCGUAGAUAUCGGGAGGAACACCAGUGGCGAAGGCGGCACCCUGGCCCUCACCUGACGCUGAGGUGCGAAAGCGUGGGUAGCAAACAGGAUUAGAUACCCUGGUAGUCCACGCUGUAAACGAUGUCAACUGGGUGUCGGAGGUGUUACACUUUCGGUGCCGAAGCUAACGCGUUAAGUUGACCGCCUGGGGACUACGAGCGCAAGCUUAAAACUCAAAUGAAUUGACGG